This 253-nucleotide ribosomal RNA is filed under the name uncultured bacterium. RNAcentral describes it as "partial 16S ribosomal RNA". It matches the Rfam family "Bacterial small subunit ribosomal RNA", at positions 524 to 776 of the family's 1533-position model. The record is from RNAcentral.
UACGUAGGUGGCAAGCGUUGUCCGGAAUUAUUGGGCGUAAAGCGCGCGCAGGCGGUCCUUUAAGUCUGAUGUGAAAGCCCACGGCUCAACCGUGGAGGGUCAUUGGAAACUGGGGGACUUGAGUGCAGGAGAGAAGAGUGGAAUUCCACGUGUAGCGGUGAAAUGCGUAGAGAUGUGGAGGAACACCAGUGGCGAAGGGGACGCUUGGGCAUGUAACUGACGCUGAGGCGCGAAAGCGUGGGGAGCAAACAGG